RNAcentral lists this ribosomal RNA (253 nucleotides) under uncultured bacterium. RNAcentral's name for it is "partial 16S ribosomal RNA". It matches the Rfam family "Bacterial small subunit ribosomal RNA", at positions 524 to 776 of the family's 1533-position model. The record is from RNAcentral.
UACGGGGGGGGCAAGCGUUGUUCGGAAUUACUGGGCGUAAAGGGCUCGUAGGUGGCCAACUAAGUCGGACGUGAAAUCCCGCGGCUUAACCGGGGAACUGCGUCCGAUACUGGGUGGCUUGAGUCUGGGAGAGGGAUGCGGAAUUCCAGGUGUAGCGGUGAAAUGCGUAGAUAUCUGGAGGAACACCGGUGGCGAAGGCGGCAUCCUGGACCAACCCUGGCACUGAGGAGCGAAAGCCAGGGGAGCAAACGGG